GAGUUUGAUCCUGGCUCAGAUUGAACGCUGGCGGCAUGCUUUACACAUGCAAGUCGAACGGCAGCAUGACCUAGCUUGCUAGGUUGAUGGCGAGUGGCGAACGGGUGAGUAAUGCAUCGGAACGUGUCCAUUAAUGGGGGAUAACGCAGCGAAAGCUGUGCUAAUACCGCAUACGCCCUGAGGGGGAAAGCGGGGGAUCUUCGGACCUCGCGUUAAUGGAGCGGCCGAUGUCAGAUUAGCUAGUUGGUGGGGUAAAGGCCUACCAAGGCGACGAUCUGUAGCUGGUCUGAGAGGAUGAUCAGCCACACUGGGACUGAGACACGGCCCAGACUCCUACGGGAGGCAGCAGUGGGGAAUUUUGGACAAUGGGGGCAACCCUGAUCCAGCCAUGCCGCGUGAGUGAAGAAGGCCUUCGGGUUGUAAAGCUCUUUCGCAAGGGAAGAAAACUUAGCCAAUAACACUGGCUGAGGCUGACGGUACCUUGAUAAGAAGCACCGGCUAACUACGUGCCAGCAGCCGUGGUAAUACGUAGGGUGCGAGCGUUAAUCGGAAUUACUGGGCGUAAAGCGUGCGCAGGCGGUUUGACAAGUCUGAUGUGAAAGCCCCGGGCUCAACCUGGGAACUGCGUUGGAAACUGUCAGGCUAGAGUGUGUCAGAGGGAGGUAGAAUUCCACGUGUAGCAGUGAAAUGCGUAGAGAUGUGGAGGAAUACCGAU
This 715-nucleotide ribosomal RNA is filed under the name uncultured bacterium. RNAcentral describes it as "bacterial SSU rRNA". It matches the Rfam family "Bacterial small subunit ribosomal RNA", at positions 9 to 713 of the family's 1533-position model. The record is from RNAcentral.